Non-coding RNA from Acanthosepion pharaonis, 99 nucleotides. The record is from the annotation of a GenBank genome assembly. Lineage: Eukaryota; Metazoa; Mollusca; Cephalopoda; Sepiida; Sepiidae.
UACGGGCAUAUCCCGUUAAAACCCCGGUUCUCGCACGAUCACCAAAGUUAAGAAACGUCGAGCCUGGUUAGUACGUAGAUGGGUGAGCGCUUGGGAAUA